CAGUCAAUAAAGUAUGGCACUAUGACCCAGUACUUUAGCGAAUAAUAUUCUGUGUUAAUAUUUUUAUCUGCCCUGGGUUACAUUAAAGAUUUAGCUUGUUUUGAUUUUAAAAGUACUUAUAUUGUCUACUUUAUUUUGUU
RNAcentral lists this microRNA precursor (140 nucleotides) under Schistosoma mansoni. RNAcentral's name for it is "microRNA sma-mir-8464 precursor". The record is from miRBase by way of RNAcentral. Lineage: Eukaryota; Metazoa; Platyhelminthes; Trematoda; Strigeidida; Schistosomatidae.